RNAcentral lists this ribosomal RNA (473 nucleotides) under uncultured bacterium. Its description in RNAcentral is "SSU rRNA". It matches the Rfam family "Bacterial small subunit ribosomal RNA", at positions 26 to 518 of the family's 1533-position model. The record is from RNAcentral.
AGAAUGAACGUUGGCGGCGUGGAUUAGGCAUGCAAGUCGAACGGGCCGCAAGGCCAGUGGCGGAAGGGUGAGUAAGGCGACGGUAACCAACCCCAUGGUUGGGUAUAGCCGCGGGAAACUGCGGGUAAUCCCCAGCGACGUCCGGAUCGGACAUCCGAUCUUGACCAAAGUUCUAACGCCGUGGGACGGGCCGUCGUGGUAUUAGGUAGUUGGCGGGGUAAUGGCCCACCAAGCCUAUGAUGCCUACCGGGCGUGCGAGCGUGGCCCGGCACACUGGGACUGAGACACUGCCCAGACUCCUACGGGAGGCUGCAGUCGAGAAUCUUCGGCAAUGGGCGCAAGCCUGACCGAGCGACGCCGCGUGGAGGAUGAAGGCCUUCGGGUUGUAAACUCCUGUCGAGGGGAGGAAGGUUGGGUAACCGGCUUGACCGAUCCCUGGAGGAAGCACGGGCUAAGUUCGCGCCAGCAGCCGC